UACAGAGGGGGCAAGCGUUGUUCGGAAUUACUGGGCGUAAAGGGCGCGUAGGCGGCCUGUUAAGUCGGUGGUGAAAUCCUGGAGCUCAACUCCAGAACUGCCUUCGAUACUGGGAGUCUUCGAGUUCGGGAGAGGUGAGUGGAACUGCGAGUGUAGAGGUGAAAUUCGUAGAUAUUCGCAAGAACACCAGUGGCGAAGGCGGCUCACUGGCCCGAUACUGACGCUGAGGUGCGAAAGCGUGGGGAGCAAACAGG
This 254-nucleotide ribosomal RNA is filed under the name uncultured bacterium. RNAcentral's name for it is "partial 16S ribosomal RNA". It matches the Rfam family "Bacterial small subunit ribosomal RNA", at positions 524 to 776 of the family's 1533-position model. The record is from RNAcentral.